This 235-nucleotide long non-coding RNA is filed under the name Actinidia chinensis (golden kiwifruit). Its description in RNAcentral is "long non-coding RNA (ACHI_LNC000363)". Lineage: Eukaryota; Viridiplantae; Streptophyta; Magnoliopsida; Ericales; Actinidiaceae. The record is from RNAcentral.
GCAAUUUUCACCGUCGGAUCCCAAUUCCCUUCCUCUCUCCUCCUCGAAACAACAACAACAGCAGCCGUCCGGUUCAACAUCCCCCUCUCUCUCCUCCGGUAUCUCCUCCAACCCCUUGAAACAGUACUUCCCUCUCCUCCUCCGCACCGUCACCUCCACCUUUUCUCUCAUAGCCUCCCGCCCCUCGCAGCACGCAAAACUCCGCCUCCUCACCUCCAUCCAAACCACCUCUCUC